AAUUUAGAAAAUGGCUGUACUACAUGAAUAGAGAUACAUCGAAGAGAAACCAUCUUGUUAAAAUGAAUACUAAUACUUCAGGUUAUUUCUUUCGGGUUGAAAAAUCCAAAAUAAAAAUGUAUAUGCAGUCGGUAAAUAUUUUAAAAUUGAAUUGAUAUUCGAACCCUUCAAAACAGAACAAAAUUACCCCUUUUUGUAAUUGAUUGUUCCAAAAUAAAUCAAAACUAUAUGCAUGUAAAAGUAUAUGUGCAUUUGCAUAAGGUCGAUUUCUAUCCGACGCAGCUCAAUAUUUGAUUCAUCUGAAAUGUUAGGACAUCACCAUUAAAACAGAAAAAAAAAACAAUAGCACAACUCAACAAUAAAACUUAAGGAUGUACUUAGGUGAGGUUAGGUGAAAAUUAAUAAAUUAAGAAGUUAAAAUUGAUACUAUAAGCUGGUAGAACAUCAAUUAAGGACAAAAAUAAGCUAAAAAUAUUGAUAGGUCAUGGACCUCCUUUUUGAGAUAUUUGAGAUUUAAAAAAUGGCGGGAAAAGGCUGACUCUGACUUUUACCUUAUAUUUGAAUUGGUAUUAUUAGGUCUAAAAACAAAAGAAAGAAAAUUAAGAAUCUUCUAAAAUUUUGGUAAAUGACCUUUCAUGAGCUAUUAAGUCUUAUAUGAAAAAAUAAAUGGGUGUUAUGGGGCGAAAUUUUUUACAUUGUAUUGUAUGGAAAAACACCAAGGCGUCCGAACAUUUGACACAAAUUCCAAAACCUCACCUAAGUACAUCCUUAAUUCAAAAUUUCUUUCAUUUUCUCCCAAAAUACAACAUUUCCCUGUUCAUCAUUUGGGUAUUCGAUAUAGGAAUCGUUUUGAACAUGUUCAAGCAUAAUAAGAGGAAGAUCUUUUGAUCGAAAUUGGUCUAAGAAUACUAAAAACAAUAUGUUUUCUUUACUUCUGGAAUAAAUACUUUCCAUUCUCGCCAUGUUAAAUUCAAACAUGCAAUAGUAUGAAUCCAGAAAAGACUUUGUUAUGAUACACACUACCUUUCUACUUUCGUGUAUAGAAUUAGUUAUAUUAUACGUAAUCUCGUUUCCGGGCAAAAAAUCACGUUUAUGGAUGCAUAGUUUUGCAUUGCCUCCUUCUUCUAGAUUCGGUAUACACUCUCUUACAAUAAAAUUUUGUUCAUUGUCGGCAUAGGAUAUGAAAGCAUCGUAUAUGUAUUCCUGUUCAUCAGUUUGGGCGAUAUUGUCUCGUUUAUAUUUACUCUUUAUCAUGUAGUAUGCAUAUCGCAAUCUCCAUCUAUAUCUAUAUACAAUUCCAAUUAUCGCGAUAACUAACAUUGACGUAAUCGAAAUAGCAAUGCAAAUUAUCAGAACGAGGCGUGAUGCACAAUUCCCUUUCAGUUGCAACAUUGUACUUCUAAAGUCUGUCAAACAAAUACUUGUUUCAUUUGCGAAUUUACAUUUCGUCUCAUUUUUUGCGGAAAAAUAGUCCUGUUUGUCAAGUAACCAUUCAAUGAAUGAAAUAGCAUCACAGCUGCAUUGUAAGAUAUUUCCUCCAAGGUUUAUUUUUACAUUCGACAAACCAAACAGGACGUCUAAUUUCUUCAUAGACUUUUCGCUAAACUUUUGUAUUCGAUUAUUCGAUAAAUCAAG
Molecule: long non-coding RNA, 1635 nt
Filed under: Mytilus galloprovincialis (Mediterranean mussel)
Lineage: Eukaryota; Metazoa; Mollusca; Bivalvia; Mytilida; Mytilidae
Source: RNAcentral